AUUUAUUAAUUAAUAAUUAUUAUUUUUUUUACUUUUUAAGUAGGUUCUGCAUAAAUAAUUAAACAAAAUGUUCACUAUCGUGUGCGGUAUACAAAUUACAAAUUUAAACAGUUCACCUUAAAUGUAAUUUUCAAAAAAUGAAUCUACAAAGAAUGAAAACCAUUGCAAAAACCAAGUUAAACCUAAUAUGCCAUUUACAAGUUACAACAAUCACAUUCAAACCUUCAUAACUCAAAUCAUUCAGCAAGAUACAGUAACUGGUGUAUGCGUGUACCUAAGCCAUUAAAGAGAUUAUUCUGUUAAAAACCGUUUCCACUAACAGUUCCACAGUGCGGUUUACAAGUAAUGAAUCAAAUGGGCAUCUAGCUUCAACUUCGAGGUUCAUCCUUGAAAAAAUGAAGCAUUCCCAAUGGUCUAUGUCCUUUUGGGAAGUGCGACGGAAGAAACAUACUCUGCGUUAUUCACUGUCAUACGCAAUAUUCUACCACUGGAUUAUGACAGAAUCCGUUUUGUAACUGAUUAUGAGCGUGCUCUUAUGAAUGCUGUCCAGCGAAUAUUUCCAAACAGUGAAUUACUCUGCUGCUGGUUCCAUUUUUCAUAGUCAGUUGUUCGAUAUUGUCACCGAAAAGUUAAUGGUGUCUUGAAUUUGGUGAGGAGGCAUGAAGCAGCAGCUCGUAUUUUCAGAAUGGUAAUUUUGAGCUUUGUUUAAGAGCAAACAU
This is a long non-coding RNA of Acyrthosiphon pisum (pea aphid), 719 nucleotides long. RefSeq lists it as uncharacterized. The transcript is spliced from 4 exons. Lineage: Eukaryota; Metazoa; Arthropoda; Insecta; Hemiptera; Aphididae. The record is from RefSeq and is a predicted model, not a curated record.